UGGCACUGUAAUUAUGAGAAUUUACAGCUGAAACGCAAGCUACAACAUUCCUCAGCCAGCUGGAGGUCUGCCUGUAAACCUGGCGCCUUUACCUGAGGAUCCUCCCAUCUCUGAGAGUCGGCACAAACAGCUUUAACCAUCAACAGCAUGAGAGAUCUCAGGUGUACAUCUGCAUGUUAUCUUUUAGGGUUCUUUCAGGCUCCAAUCCACUAAGGAAUUCAGCAUCAUGACAAAGAUUUGGAGAUUAAAGCUCCUGAGAGGGCCACUUGAGGUUUGACUGGAGUUGAGUACGUGUAGACCACUUUUAGCUGUCAAACAAGCUGGUGGCAGUUUGCUCCAAGGUCAAAGGAUCGCUCAAUAGGAGGGUGUGACAAUGAAAGAGAGAGUGAGGUCCAGAUCUGAGCCCUGUCUGGAGCCAGGGGAUGCGAGCCAUGGUUGGAGGAAAGGUCCGGGAGCUGAGUCAUACUGGAUCAGUGUGCCAGUCGAACCCAGAAACCUUGUGUUGUCAUCACAGCUCUUUCAGGAAGUCUUGAGCAACAACCAGCCAUAAAGCCUUUAACUGGUAAUGGAGUUUAAACGAAAAUUCAACAAGGAAGACUCACCACCCCUGCCACGUCCAAUCACUCCUCACUUGCUGCUCCAAUCAACGGCAGGUCCGCACUCCUCCUCAGCCAAUCAUCUCCCAGGGC
This is a long non-coding RNA of Girardinichthys multiradiatus, 689 nucleotides long. RefSeq lists it as uncharacterized. Lineage: Eukaryota; Metazoa; Chordata; Actinopteri; Cyprinodontiformes; Goodeidae. The record is from RefSeq and is a predicted model, not a curated record. The transcript is spliced from 3 exons.